ACCAGCAGCUAUAUCACCCUGUAACUCACAACUGACAACCCACUGAAGCAGGUGUGAACCUGGCCAGUACCUGGAUUGGAGUCCUCCUAGGAAAGUCAAGGUUGCUGCUGGAA
This 113-nucleotide ribosomal RNA is filed under the name Lepisosteus oculatus (spotted gar). The record is from RNAcentral. Lineage: Eukaryota; Metazoa; Chordata; Actinopteri; Semionotiformes; Lepisosteidae.